GUAAUAUAUCAACAAAACUAAAGAUAGAGUCGUCGAGAGUAUCUA
RNAcentral lists this non-coding RNA (45 nucleotides) under Trypanosoma lewisi. Lineage: Eukaryota; Euglenozoa; Kinetoplastea; Trypanosomatida; Trypanosomatidae. The record is from RNAcentral.